UACGUAGGGGGCAAGCGUUGUCCGGAUUUAUUGGGCGUAAAGAGCGUGUAGGCGGCUUUGCAAGUCCGUUGUGAAAACUCGAGGCUCAACCUCGAGACGCCGGUGGAAACUGCAAAGCUAGAGUCCGGAAGAGGAGAGUGGAAUUCCUGGUGUAGCGGUGAAAUGCGCAGAUAUCAGGAAGAACACCCGUGGCGAAGGCGGCUCUCUGGUACGUGACUGACGCUGAGACGCGAAAGCGUGGGGAGUGAACAGG
Molecule: ribosomal RNA, 253 nt
Filed under: uncultured bacterium
Lineage: Bacteria
Description: partial 16S ribosomal RNA
Rfam family: Bacterial small subunit ribosomal RNA
Source: RNAcentral